Molecule: unclassified non-coding RNA, 213 nt
Filed under: Hevea brasiliensis (rubber tree)
Lineage: Eukaryota; Viridiplantae; Streptophyta; Magnoliopsida; Malpighiales; Euphorbiaceae
Source: RNAcentral
AUAAUCGGCCAUCUCAACCAGAUAGCUGGCGCAGUGAUGACCGUAGACCUGCAUUUGGAAUUUCAAGGUCAUCGUGGUCCUCAUCCCGAGUUCCUACUCGUGCUAGCACAGACCGCUGAUUGUGGUGGCAGAUGUGGCAAUUGGGAAGUAAAAUUUUGGAAGAGAAUAAUCACUUGUUUUUGCUACUACUGAGAAAUUAAGGGAAGAAACAGC